GAACAAUGCAUGAUUGAAGUAAAGAGGAAAAUCUAUUCUCUCCAGUCGGUUGAUGAACUUAACAUCCAAAUUGAGCAAAUUCAUGCGUUGUUGCUAAAACUAUCAACGGAGAUGAAACAGAACGGGAUGUAUGUCCCAGAUACCAGAAUUGUGCUGUAUGAUCUUGAAGAAGAGGAGAAAGAACGUAUUUUGUUAGGUCACAGCGAGAAAUCAGCAGUCGCUUUUGGUUUGAUUAAUAGCAGCAAAGGAGAUCCUAUACGGAUUAGUAAGAACUUGAGGUUAUGUGAGGACUGCCACUCAUUCACCAAGCUCAUUUCGAAAUAUACAAACAGAGAAAUUCUAGUCAGAGACAUCAAUCGAUUUCAUCAUUUCGCCAAUGGGGUUUGUUCCUGUGGAGAUUAUUGGUAGACUUGUUCAUUCUCUUUCCUCUAACAAAGCCAACUUUCA
This 447-nucleotide unclassified non-coding RNA is filed under the name Hevea brasiliensis (rubber tree). Lineage: Eukaryota; Viridiplantae; Streptophyta; Magnoliopsida; Malpighiales; Euphorbiaceae. The record is from RNAcentral.